RNAcentral lists this ribosomal RNA (236 nucleotides) under uncultured bacterium. RNAcentral describes it as "partial 16S ribosomal RNA". It matches the Rfam family "Bacterial small subunit ribosomal RNA", at positions 99 to 334 of the family's 1533-position model. The record is from RNAcentral.
CGAACGGGUGAGUAACGCGUGAGGAACCUGCCUCAAAGAGGGGGACGACAGUUGGAACGACUGCUAAUACCGCAUAAGCCCACGGCUCGGCAUCGAGCAGAGGGAAAAGGAGCAAUCCGCUUUGAGAUGGCCUCGCGUCCGAUUAGCUAGUUGGUGAGGUAACGGCCCACCAAGGCGACGAUCGGUAGCCGGACUGGGAGGUUGAACGGCCACAUUGGGACUGAGACACGGCCCAG